GGAUCGUCGAUCAGACUCCGGCAGUUGAAGGCGAGUCGACCGAGCAAUCAAGCAUCUCGAUAAUCCGUCUAUUCGACUCGCUCCAACCGAGGCACCGGAGCAGAGCUAAGAGGUCGCCAAAACUGUUCUAAGCAAGCGGAUGGGCUUCCUUUAGAUGUUAAUGUUUCCUUUCAAGUGGACAGUCCUCCAUUCAUCCCUACAGUAUCACUAAAUAUCCCUUUACCUACUCCUUCACCUCCCAUUCCAAACACUGCUGAGUCACCAUCCUUUAUUGACCAUCCCUCUCCUAUACACUCUCCCCCAUCCGCAUCUAGCUCUACUAUCUCUUCUCCACAUAUUACUCAAUCACUACUAAAUCCACCAUCUGUUUCACCAUGUCCAGCUCGCACAUAAAAGCCAAAUUCCAAAUACUAUAAUAAUAAAUUUGUGAAUCUCACCACCAAAUAUCAACUUCCUCCUCCACUUGAACCUACCAUUAUUACACAAGUAAUGAAAGAUCCUCUCUGGCGCAAUAUGGAUGCUGAAUUUAAUGCUUUGUUACACAAUGGAACUUGGAAAUUGGUUCCCAAAUCAUCUCAUGUUCCAAUUAGUUGCAAAUGGGUCUUCUGUAUCAAAUGAAAAUCUGAUGGUUCUAUUGACAAGUACAAAGCUCGUCUAGUGGCGAAGGGCUUUCUCCAAUAAGCAGGAAGAGAUUAUUUUGAAACCUUCAGCCCUGUUACAAAGCCUGUUACAAUACGCAUUAUUUUAUGUCUUGCCUUAUCUUAAAAUUGGCCUUUACGUCAAUUGGAUGUAAACAAUGCAUUUUUGCAUGGCAUAUUACAAGAAGAUGUCUACAUGAUGCAACCUCCUAAUUAUGUUCACCCUCAGUAUUCAAAUCACGUAUGCAAGCUUCAUAAUGCCUUAUAUGGCCUUAAAUAGGCUCCUCGGGCAUAAUACAAUGUACUCCAGCAUUUUCUACUUGCCUUUGGUUUUCGCAAAUUAUUUGCUGAUGCGUCCGUGUUUAUUUAUGACUGCAAUGAUAUCAAGCUUUAUUUUCUUAUUUUUGUUGAUGACAUCGUCCUCACGGGUAACAAUUCUAAAUUUCUUGAUGGCUUUGUUCACAAGUUAGGCAAUUAGUUUUCAAUUAAAGAUCUGGGUUGCCUGCAUUAUUUUUUAGGUGUUGAGGUUAUUUCUACUCCAUCGGGUCUAUUUCUUUGUCAACAUCGACAUAUUGAUGAUUUACUUGAUCGGUUUAACAUGGCCGGCGCUAAGGAAGUUGCCACCCCCAUGAGUUCUUCUAAAACUUAUUCUCUUAUUGAUGGUUCUUCCCAAGUUAAGUCCACUAACUACCGUCGCAUUGUUGGCUCUUUACAAUAUCUUGCAAUUACUCGCUUUGAUGUUUCAUUUGCUGUUAACAAAUUGUCUCAGUUUAUGCAUGCUCCAAUUCAACGAUAUCUACAAGCUUUAAAGCGUGUACUCAUAUAUUUAAAGGGUUCAAUUUAUCAUGUUUUAUUUCUCAAGAGGGACUAUUCUCAACAUCUCACAGCCUUCUGUGACUCUGACUGGGGUGGUACCCUUGAUAAUGGACGCUCAACUAUAGCGUAUAUGUUAUACUUGGGCUAUAAUAUCAUCUCUU
Ricinus communis (castor bean) is the source of this 1615-nucleotide long non-coding RNA. RefSeq lists it as uncharacterized. The record is from RefSeq and is a predicted model, not a curated record. Lineage: Eukaryota; Viridiplantae; Streptophyta; Magnoliopsida; Malpighiales; Euphorbiaceae. The transcript is spliced from 3 exons.